Molecule: long non-coding RNA, 1306 nt
Organism: Symphalangus syndactylus (siamang)
Lineage: Eukaryota; Metazoa; Chordata; Mammalia; Primates; Hylobatidae
Source: RefSeq, a predicted model, not a curated record
GAGUGGCAUCAGGAUGCCUGAGAGGAGAGCAUGCUGUUUCUGCUUCAUUGGAUCCAUGCAGGUCUUGGAGGGUGGUGGCUCACUCUUUCUGGGCCAAGUAGAGGGUGGCUCAGACACUCCCCUUCCUCCAGGCUUCUCAUCUGUAACUGGUGAAGCCCGGAAGAGCUUGUUGUUCAAGAGGAAAUCUUGUGUUACUUCUUUAUGAAGGACUCCAGCCUGGUGGAGAUGAACGAGUCCUGAAGAUGGAAUCGAAGCUGUUUGGGCACAAAAGACAACAGAAGAUGGUACUUAAGGCUUUGGCUCUGGAAAAAGAGAUACCUGGAUUCUGAUCCUGAAGUCUCUCACUUAAAUUCUACAAGUCUCACUUUCUCAUCAGAUAAGUUCCCCAGGAAACAGAUUUGCAUGCAGGAGUCUUAUUGGGGAACGCUUUCAGAACUACCACCCUGUAUAGGAGCGAGAGAAGCAGGACUAUGCAGAAGGAGAAGUUGAACAACUCCAUGGAAAGCUCUGAAGCUGGGAUCAUCCUUCCAGAAUGUCUUGGAUUGAGACAAAGGGUGGGGAUUGUUAUUCAAAUUGUUAACCACACAGCGAUGGGUUCCAUGGCUUGGCAGGUGACAGCCCAGUGACCACAGCCAAGGAGGAUUUAAUAGGGGAUUUCAUUACUAGUAACAAGUAAAGCUGACACUGGGGAUAGUUCUCAAAGCAGUGCUUCCCGGGUGGUGGGGCGGCGGGGGGGGCGGUGGGGAGGGGGCUUGUGGGUGUGGUUUGCUCCUGGCUUUGAUAGCUUUGAUACACGAGUUGUCCCAAUGUUCUGCUGGCACCGGGGGAAGUGUUGCUUUUGGUGUUAGAGUGAACCCUUGCUGAGACUUCUGCCUAGACCAUAAGCUCCAGAAGGGCAGGCUCAUGUCUCAUGGUAUCCCCAGACCUUAGCCCAGUUCACAGCUCCAUUAAUAUUUGCUGAUUGAAUAUAUAAGACUAAAGACAAACUGUUACUUAAAUGCAUUAAUGUGAACUUGAUACACUUGACAAAGGGAAAUAGAGAAUCUGAUCUAAUCUGAGGGAUCGAGGAGGCUUCUCCAAAGAAGUGACGCUUGAGCUGAGACCCAAGGACUGGUUAAGAGUGAACCAGGCAAAAUGGGGGGAAGGGGGUGCUUCCCAAGCCUCCCCUGGACAGGCGUUCAGCUUUGCCACCUCCUGUGUGUGUCUCCUGGGAGGAAACAGAAAUGAGAAGGCAUGCUCACUGAAUGUAUCCUGUUAUCUGUUGCUGAAAUGUAUCCUUUGUCUGUAUCACAGCCUUAUCUUGUAC